This 492-nucleotide ribosomal RNA is filed under the name uncultured bacterium. RNAcentral describes it as "partial 16S ribosomal RNA". It matches the Rfam family "Bacterial small subunit ribosomal RNA", at positions 29 to 507 of the family's 1533-position model. The record is from RNAcentral.
AGUGAACGCUGGCGGUAGGCCUAACACAUGCAAGUCGAACGGCAGCACAGUAAGAGCUUGCUCUUACGGGUGGCGAGUGGCGGACGGGUGAGGAAUACAUCGGAAUCUACUUUUUCGUGGGGGAUAACGUAGGGAAACUUACGCUAAUACCGCAUACGACCUACGGGUGAAAGCAGGGGAUCUUCGGACCUUGCGCGAUUGAAUGAGCCGAUGUCGGAUUAGCUAGUUGGCGGGGUAAAGGCCCACCAAGGCGACGAUCCGUAGCUGGUCUGAGAGGAUGAUCAGCCACACUGGAAAUGAGACACGGUCCAGACUCAAACGGGAGGCAGCAGUGGGGAAUAUUGGACAAUGGGCGCAAGCCUGAUCCAGACAUACCGCGUGGGUGAAGAAGGCCUUCGGGUUGUAAAGCCCUUUUGUUGGGAAAGAAAAGCAGCAGGUUAAUACCCCGCUGUUCUGACGGUACCCAAAGAAUAAGCACCGGCUAACUUCGUG